Molecule: ribosomal RNA, 513 nt
Filed under: uncultured bacterium
Lineage: Bacteria
Description: partial 16S ribosomal RNA
Rfam family: Bacterial small subunit ribosomal RNA
Source: RNAcentral
GACGAACGCUGGCGGCGUGCUUAACACAUGCAAGUCGAACGAAAAGAGGGAAAGAGCUUGCUCUUUCCGGAAUUGAGUGGCAAACGGGUGAGUAACACGUAAACAACCUGCCUUCAGGAUGGGGACAACAGACGGAAACGACUGCUAAUACCGAAUAAGUUCCAAGGGCCGCAUGGCCCAUGGAAGAAAAGGUGGCCUCUACCUGUAAGCUAUCGCCUGAAGAGGGGUUUGCGUCUGAUUAGCUGGUUGGAGGGGUAACGGCCCACCAAGGCGACGAUCAGUGGCCGGUCGGAGAGGAUGAACGGCCACACUGGAACUGAGACACGGCCCAGACUCCUACGGGAGGCAGCAGUGGGGAAUCUUCCGCAAUGAGCGAAAGCCUGACGAAGCAACGCCGCGGGAGUGAUGACGGCCUUCGGGUUGUAAAACUCUGUGAUCCGGGACGAAAAGGCAGAGUGCGAAGAACGAACUGCAUUGACGGUACCGGAAAAGCAAGCCACGGCUAACUACGUG